GUGAUUUCUACAGAAAUUCUCGAUGACUUUGAGUAAUUUUAAGCUGCAUAGUUGAAAAACAUCUGUCUUGUCUAGCCUUGGCAAUAAAACUCUCCCUCCUGACCUCCGUGAAAUAACCAACAUUUACCUGGCUCUGCACGUCCUAGAUGUCCUGCUGCAGGUAGUCUUCUUUUGUGGCGGGUAAUUUCCAGAACUCCUGCUUCACUUGCUAUAGGAAUCACACAGAUGAUUAAAUACAGAGGAUCUCAAGCUAGUGAUUGAGCUGUGUUCAGGUAACAU
Molecule: long non-coding RNA, 279 nt
Filed under: Lonchura striata (white-rumped munia)
Lineage: Eukaryota; Metazoa; Chordata; Aves; Passeriformes; Estrildidae
Description: domestica (Bengalese finch) lncRNA (ENSLSDG00000009800.1)
Source: RNAcentral